GGUGGCUCAGUGGUAGAGCUCUUGUCUUGCAUGCAUAAGGCCCUGGGUUCAAUUCCUCAGCACCA
RNAcentral lists this transfer RNA (65 nucleotides) under Dipodomys ordii (Ord's kangaroo rat). It matches the Rfam family "tRNA". From Rfam's summary of the family: Transfer RNA (tRNA) molecules are approximately 80 nucleotides in length. Their secondary structure includes four short double-helical elements and three loops (D, anti-codon, and T loops). The record is from Rfam by way of RNAcentral. Lineage: Eukaryota; Metazoa; Chordata; Mammalia; Rodentia; Heteromyidae.